This 77-nucleotide transfer RNA is filed under the name Methanobacteriota archaeon. Its description in RNAcentral is "Euryarchaeota archaeon tRNA-Arg". It matches the Rfam family "tRNA". Rfam says of the family: Transfer RNA (tRNA) molecules are approximately 80 nucleotides in length. Their secondary structure includes four short double-helical elements and three loops (D, anti-codon, and T loops). The record is from RNAcentral. Lineage: Archaea; Methanobacteriati; Methanobacteriota.
GGACUUGUAGUGUAGCUAGGAUAUCACAGCGGGUUGCGGACCCGUUAACCGGGGUUCAAAUCCCCGCAGGUCCGCCA